Molecule: long non-coding RNA, 1228 nt
Organism: Diceros bicornis minor
Lineage: Eukaryota; Metazoa; Chordata; Mammalia; Perissodactyla; Rhinocerotidae
Exons: 3
Source: RefSeq, a predicted model, not a curated record
CCCUGAGACGGAGAGCGGGAGCGGGCUGGCGCUCUGCAGCCCUUGACUCUGCUCUCCCUGGAUGACCGUCAGCUCCUAGAGAAGAUCUGCCUUCCCUUGAGGUGGCUUCUCCUGUCCUGAGAAGCAUGUCACACAAGCUAACAUUUGUUUAAAAAAGAAUUAUGACAUCCUUAACACCCGAUGUGUGUCGUGUCCCCAGAAGAAUUCUCUGCUUCCCCAGAAGAUUAGACAGCAAGCAGCUGGGGCCGAGUUCUGACCCAGGAAGGAAGGAUGCUGAGUGCGCAGCUGUCUCCCCUCCAAGGACUCCUUCCCCUGAUCUGUGGCCUUGAUGGGGUGACAGCGCUGGGCACUCACACAGAAACCUUACACCUUUCUAUGAAAGCCACCCGUGCACAGUGUCCACAGAGCUCCUCGUCAUAUUGGAAAAAUUCCUGAAGACAGCUGCCUGGAGUUGAGCCGAUAGUUCUUCCUAUGGCCAUAAAGGAGAAUCCUUAUAUUGGCCAUGGGGCCUCAGGAGAAGCCCUCGUGAGAGAGGAAUCCUUGCUAACCCUAUGUUGUACAUAAGACUGGCUUCUCCUAAGACAGUGGUUCUCGAACUCCAGUGUGCAUUAGAACCGUGUGGAGGUCCCCUACAACACAGAAUGCUGAGCCCAUCCCAGAGUUUGUGAUCCAGUAGGAUGGGGGGACCCGAGAAUUUAUGUCUCUGACCGUUUCCCAGGUGAUUCUGCUGACCAGCCACACAUUGAGAACCAUUGGCUUAGAAACCCUAGGUUUCAAAGGAUGCUUUGCUUGAGCAGACAGCCAAAAGUAUCAAAAUCUUAAUCAAGAUUCACCAACAACUUGAAUGUGUUGGCAUUUGGAUCUAGAGGCUCCUGAAUUUUCAGGGGCUAAAGCAAACAUUACUCAGAGUUCAAGGUUUGUGACUCUUGUGGGAGAUCAAGAUUUGGCCACCCUGAAAUCUCUCUCUUUACCUUGCUUGUUUUCUCUAGGGACAUUUGACCUCCCCUACUAACUGCCUAAAGAAUUUGACAUAGUAACUCCUUCCUGGAACAGAUCUAUCAUGAUGGCUGUAAAGAUAAUGUAGGAUAGAGGUUACAAUAGAAAAGGCACCAACAAGCCCCUCUUAUCAGAAGUUCUGUCUCUCUGGCCACAUUCUCUGGAUGACCCUGCGAGGAGUUGGCAGACAAUCAUUUACAUUUAUAAGGGAAAUCUCCAUUUGUAAAGGUAU